Molecule: ribosomal RNA, 1440 nt
Filed under: uncultured bacterium
Lineage: Bacteria
Description: bacterial SSU rRNA
Rfam family: Bacterial small subunit ribosomal RNA
Source: RNAcentral
GAUGAACGCUGGCGGCGUGCCUAACACAUGCAAGUCGAGCGUGAACCCUGCGAAUGAAACUUCGGUCGAUUUUGCAGGGGGAAAGCGGCGGACGGGUGAGUAACGCGUAGGUAACCUGCCCCAUACUGAGGGAUAGCCUCGGGAAACCGGGAUUAAUACCUCAUAACACCGUAUAUUCGCAUGGAUGUGCGGUCAAAGAUUUAUCGGUAUGGGAUGGGCCUGCGUCUGAUUAGCUGGUUGGUGGGGUAACGGCCUACCAAGGCGACGAUCAGUAGCCGACCUGAGAGGGUGAUCGGCCACAUUGGAACUGAGACACGGUCCAAACUCCUACGGGAGGCAGCAGUGGGGAAUAUUGCACAAUGGGCGAAAGCCUGAUGCAGCAACGCCGCGUGAGCGAAGAAGGCCUUUGGGUCGUAAAGCUCUGUCGGGUAGGAAGAUAAUGACGGUACUACCCGAGGAAGCCCCGGCUAACUACGUGCCAGCAGCCGCGGUAAUACGUAGGGGGCGAGCGUUAUCCGGAAUUACUGGGCGUAAAGAGUGCGUAGGUGGCUGCUUAAGCGUGAGGUGAAAGGCAAUGGCUUAACCAUUGUGAGCCUCGCGAACUGGGUGGCUUGAGUGCAGGAGAGGAAAGCGGAAUUCCUAGUGUAGCGGUGAAAUGCGUAGAUAUUAGGAGGAACACCAGUGGCGAAGGCGGCUUUCUGGACUGCAACUGACACUGAGGCACGAAAGCGUGGGGAGCAAACAGGAUUAGAUACCCUGGUAGUCCACGCCGUAAACGAUGAGCACUAGGUGUCGGGGUCGCAAGACUUCGGUGCCGCAGUUAACGCAUUAAGUGCUCCGCCUGGGGAGUACGCACGCAAGUGUGAAACUCAAAGGAAUUGACGGGGACCCGCACAAGCAGCGGAGCAUGUGGUUUAAUUCGAAGCAACGCGAAGAACCUUACCAGGGCUUGACAUCCCUCUGACAGGUGGGUAACGCCACCCUCUCUUCGGAGCAGAGGUGACAGGUGGUGCAUGGUUGUCGUCAGCUCGUGUCGUGAGAUGUUGGGUUAAGUCCCGCAACGAGCGCAACCCUUGUCAUUAGUUGCCAUCAGGUGAUGCUGGGCACUCUAAUGAGACUGCCGGGGAUAACUCGGAGGAAGGUGGGGAUGACGUCAAAUCAUCAUGCCCCUUAUGUUCUGGGCUACACACGUGCUACAAUGGCCGGUACAGCGAGAGGCGAACCCGCGAGGGGGAGCAAAACUCCAAAACCGGUCCCAGUUCGGAUUGCAGGCUGAAACUCGCCUGCAUGAAGUCGGAGUUGCUAGUAAUCGCGAAUCAGCAUGUCGCGGUGAAUGCGUUCCCGGGUCUUGUACACACCGCCCGUCACACCACGGAAGUUGGGGGCGCCCGAAGUCGGUCAGUAAAUAGGCUGCCUAAGGCGAAACCAAUGACUGGGGUG